This is a non-coding RNA of Chiloscyllium plagiosum (whitespotted bambooshark), 3118 nucleotides long. The record is from RefSeq and is a predicted model, not a curated record. Lineage: Eukaryota; Metazoa; Chordata; Chondrichthyes; Orectolobiformes; Hemiscylliidae.
GAUUGGGUAAGGAUGGCAGUUUUCUUCCUUCAGGGACAUUUGUGAACCAAAUGGGGUUUUCUGACCAUCAAUAAUGGAUUCACGUCAUCUUAAUUCCAGAUAUUUAUUGAAUUUGAAUUCCACUAUCUGCCAUAGUGGGAUUUGAACAAGAUCCUCCGAAAAUUACCUGGGUCUCCGGAUCAACAGUCCAGUGAUAAUACCACUUCUCUAUCACCUAUCUGAUAAGGUAAGCCACAUAAAUGCAGUGGCUUCAAGAGCAAGUGAGAAUCCAAUUUGAGUGGCUUUCCUCCUAACUUUUUUUUUAUCACCUGCAAAGUUCAAAUCAGAACUCUGAUGCAGCAGAGCUGACCUUAUCAUCAGCUGCUGGUGAUCAAUUUCAUUGAUUUUUCAAGAAGACCUUUAGAGCACGCGUCAACUGUCACUCAGGUACGUCAUAGUAUAGCAUUCCAGAACAGUAUGUGAGUAUCUUUUGAAGCCGCCUUCUGCUCCAGCUGCUGCAUCAAAUGAGCAUGGCCAACACUGAUACCUUCAGUAUCAUCACCAGGGAGACAGCAAGGGCAUGUACUCUGCCCAUGCCUUUUAUCUCUUGGUAGUUGAUCUCAUCAUGAGGAAUGUUUGGCCAGGUUUAAACUUUGGCAUCUCAUGGUAACGUCUUUGGUUGAUAUACCUGGAUUUCACAGAUGACACUACCCUACUGGCUAAAGAAUCGUGCACUCCAAGAUAGGUCUGCCAAACUUGAGAAUAACAGCACCACAUUGACCUGCACUGUGUGAAGGCUAAAACUACAAUGACUGGAUGGCAAUAUCCAGUUGAGGACAUUGGACAAAUUGGUUCUGAAGUGAUCAUUCAAGAAUCAGUAAAGCAACAUCUGUUUUCCAGUGACUUUGUAUGCUUUGUGCCUUUUAAUGCAGUAAUGAUGCUGCACCAUCAUUGGGUAAGAUCAUGGAUGUAAUUUGGAGAGACAUCAUGCCAAUGAAGAAAUGUUUCACAGGACUGAUCAGAGGUGCCUAUAGAAUGUAGUGACAGAGUUGACUGAGACUUGCAAGGCAUAUGAUUUGCCUGCCAGAGGUAUGUUUGUCAAACAUAGCAAUGAAGUAGACAGCACUAAAUGAAUACAGAUGAUGGGGCAAUUCAAAGAAGACCUAGCAACGUAUGUUUCAGGAGUACCUUCCACAGCAGUACAUUGCCUGGACUGGAGAAGUAGAUUGGAUUGGAUCAUGGCUGAUAGUGGAGGCUUGCUGCCAAUUGCCCUACACAGAGGAACUAAGGCUAAUUCCAUAGCUUCUGAUCUGUGACUUUCAGAGAAACCUGGAUUGAACUGAAGAAUACAAUCAAAAAGCAUUGAUUAAAAAUUUUAUAAUUUGAUAUAAUAUGUAUUUGACUUACUCAGUUGCUGUAAAUUGUGAGCCUCAAAUAUAAGCUAGUUGGAUGCAAUUGUUAGGACAAUGAUCGUUCCAGAUUCCCAUGUAAUAAAAUCACGUUUGUCUGGCUUGAUUUAAUCAGCCACAGUAAAACAGUGGGCCUGCAUGUGUUUCAUCUUGUGGGCUGCUCAUCACUUGCCUUCAUUUCCCAUCUGCUGCGUUCUGGUGCCUCAACAUAUGACCACCAUUCAUAAAGCAGCUGCUUUAUAGCGAUACUGAUAAUUUGAUCUUAUUAGCACAUACAUGCUUGGGCAAUAGUUAGCACUCAACAUUUAAACUUUAACUUUCUUGGUUUUUGCAUUUCAAAUCACUAAGCCUUUUAAGCCAUGUAAAUUUUGAUUUUUAAUAGCAAAUUGCUAUAUAUUAUCACUUUUCAAAUAAAAGUACAGAAGUUUCCCAAAUGCUAGCAGUCUUCCAUCUUGCUUUCUCCCAACCUCUGUUUUUCACAGUCAAAUAUCAUAGCCAAGCUUGAUGUUAUCCUCUUGCAACACCGAAAACAUGCUGGGAUUAACAAUCAAAAGCAGGUGCAUUGAAAAUUUUUCUUUUAACACAAGUUCUUAUAUAUCCCAUCGGUAAUUAACUAUUCAAAUUCAUUUGGAAAUUGACCAUCUACGCCCAUGGAAUAGACCAUCUUGGGAUCUUCAGUGGUUUGAAGUUGUGUGGUCAUCUGUAAAAAGCAACUGCAUAAGCCAUUUCAGCAGUUCCACGCAGCUGAAUUUUACAGUUUCAUUAGCUUUGUGGAAAGCAUGGUUUGGAUAAAACCAAUAUUUUGUAAUUGUACAGGCAAUUUCAAAAAUCUGAAAGACUACACAAGAGUUUAGAUUUAAUUGCAUUUUCAGUUACAGCAUAAAUAGCUUUUUUCAACUUUUUUCAACCCGUUAACAGUAUAUUCAUUUUCUCAUUGAACAAAGAUCCCUUUCAUAGAUCAUAGCUUUGUGUUUUAUCAAAUGAAUGCUAAAUAGCUUAGCAAGCUUCAAAGCAAUGAAGGCCAUUUAUUUUGAAAAUUACACUACAGAUAUUUUUGUGUUUGCAGUCUUCACUAUCAACAGAAUGCAUGUUUUUGAAAGUGCAUUCUGUUGGUAAAUAAGACAAGUGAAUGCUGAUUUGAAAUGACUGACGUUAAUGUACUUAGUAUUUUACAAUCACUGCAACUUCAGUUUCUUUUACAUUUGAGUCCAGAGUAGACAAUGUUACAACCUAGGUUUUUAAACUCACCUGAACACCUGAAGGAGUGAUAACCGCUAGGUUGAUUAAAUUAGGUAACACUUAAAAAGAUGAGCUAGUUAGAUGCAAUGUAUGUGGUUUUGUAAAAAAAAAACGUGCUUGACUAACAUAAUUGAUUUUUAGAAAAUUCUCAGAACAGAUUGAGCAAAUGCAGUGUCUAUUAUGUUUAUCGAUAUUUAAAAGACUUUUGAUGAAAGUGCUGCAUAAAAUAACUUGAUCAGAAGAUUGAUUUGCAUUACACUAAAAGAUAUACAACUGCAAGGAUAAAAAUGACUUAAGGAUGGAAAGCAAUUAGAAAAUGAAUGUUUUGUUUGGAUUGAUAUAGUAUUGUUACUGAUGUGCUGCUGUGAUCACUUCUAUUAUAAGCAAAAUUGGACACAGGCAAAAUGAAGAUACCGCAAGUGGAUUCUGCUAUGACGUGCGUUUCUUCAAUGUGAAUUGGCUAUAACGCAAUUAAAGAAUUUAGACCAUUA